GGAAUUUUAACUUGUGUUUAGAUGAAAAGAUUUUGUAAUGUGCUAUUUAUUUAUUUCUUUUAAUUCAAGUUUUCUUUAAGUAAUUUGAUCAAUUAAUUUAUAUUGGAUUCAUUAACAUGAAAAAUGCAUAUUUUGAGUCUAAAUUUGAUAUGUCUUGUAAAAAUUUUAUCGUUGAAUAUCCACGUAAAGGUAAGCAUUUGGUUCAUGCCACUAAUAAUGGAAUUCUCCUCCCAAGAAGAGGAAGAGGAGAGGGAUAUAUAACAAAUAGAACUUUGAUUUUGGGCCAAAUGGGAAAUUGACCAAUGGUCAAAUAGUUUAUUUGGAUCAAAUUAGGCAUAAGCGUAUGAUAUCAAUCAUAAUUUUAACAAAUUAAAUUAGAUACUUUUUGAUACAUUAAAAAAUUCUGAAUAAAAAU
RNAcentral lists this unclassified non-coding RNA (415 nucleotides) under Hevea brasiliensis (rubber tree). Lineage: Eukaryota; Viridiplantae; Streptophyta; Magnoliopsida; Malpighiales; Euphorbiaceae. The record is from RNAcentral.